RNAcentral lists this long non-coding RNA (3507 nucleotides) under Heterocephalus glaber (naked mole-rat). RNAcentral's name for it is "lncRNA (ENSHGLG00100034659.1)". The record is from RNAcentral. Lineage: Eukaryota; Metazoa; Chordata; Mammalia; Rodentia; Bathyergidae.
GAAAUGCUGACGUGCUGUCACUUAAGCACAUGGCUGGAUCCUGUUAUAGCUCAGAGAAAGUAUAUAAAGAGCUUGGCCCUAGGUGAGAUUUCAAAAAAUGAAACAAUGCCCAGCAUGAGGUAAGUGGAAAGUGUUGGGGAUGCAGUGGCUGGGGCCUGACUCUCAGCCUCCCACCCAGGGCUGGGUGACCUUGGGCCUGGAUGAAUAAUGGAUUGUCACCGGAUAGCCAUCUCUUCACUCUCCUGUGAAGCAGAGGGAAUCGCUUCGUCUUCAAAGCGCUGCUGGGAUGCUCUGUCCACUGCCCCUGCUCUGCGGUCAAAGCUUACAGCAUUGGAAGCUGUGGGACGCCCAGGGUGGCCUGCUGCAACACUGGCCACCCAGUCGACUGCUGGGAAUACACCUCCCUCCACUCUUUGGUGUUCUUGGGAAUUUGUCUAAGAACUACUCCGGGGCUCUUUGGCAUGAGUCUGCCCAUGUAGAAGGAGCCAUUUUCCUCCUGAGCUCCUAGGCAAAGCAUUGUUUGUCACCUGGAAUCUGUCACACGGGCUGUGGCUGCGUCACUGCCUGGUGCUCCCUGCAUGCAACAUCCUUUCUGUUUCUAACAAUGACAGGCUUUAAUCUCUCCGGAAAAUGCCUCCAUCUCCAGCUGGGGCUCUCCCAGUCCCUUUAGUCCUCAGGCCUGGGACUGUCAGUCUCUAUCUAUUUCCGACCCCUUGCCCUUUGCUUUCUCUUGAAUUUCCUGAGGCGUUUCCUUCUCCCGUCAGACACUUUAUAGAUUUCACAUUUUCUGUUGUGUUGAUUUUCGUUUGCUGCCUCUUGGGGACCAAGAUUUAAAACCCCACUACUCCCUCCUUUUUCACUGCUCACUGGGCUCAUUUAUUUCCUUUUCUUUUUUGUGGUGCUAGGGAUUGAAUCCAGGGCUGUGUGCAUGCCACCCAAGCACUCUAUCACCGAGCUACGUCACCAGCCAUAUCUAGCUAUUUACUUUCUCUCAUCGCUUUUCUCAAAGAAACAUAAGAAAAAAGUGCUUACAAAAAAACUCACACCAUUUAACUGGAGGCAUUAAGAUUAAGAAAUACAAAAGAAAAAAGAUUAAGAAAUACAGAGCUUUGGGUGGCAUGAGAUUGCACAUGCUUGAGGUGGUGACAUGUGCCAACGCUCCCAGAGGCUGAGGCAGGAGAAUCAAAAGUUUGAGCCCAGCCUAGGCAAUUUAGCAACUUAGUAAGACUUUGUCUCAAAAAAAAAGACCGGGGCUGUAGCUCAGUGAGACCCUAGAAUCCAUCCCUAAUCCCACCAAAGAGGGGCCGGGGAUUUGGCUCAGUAGUUUACCUGCCUGCCUAAUGCCACCCAAAAAAAGGAAAGAAAUAAAACCAGAGAGAUUUAUAUUUUUUGCACAAUGAUAUGUAAACAUAAAGCAAUUAUGGAAUUAUUAAUAUAAAAGACUUCAAUGAAAUCACAUCCUGAUAAAAUUUUAAAGCAAUGAUAUCAGGAUUAUUUUAUGACAUUUUAUCCUCUCAAAUGGUCCAAUCCAGUCAAUGCUUAAGAAGCCACACCCACUUUCUUUCCCACACCCCACCCCCGUACUUGGGGAUGGAACCCAGGGCCUUCACACUGAGCUACAUCCCCAGCUCUACUUACUUAUUUAUUUUUAUUUUGAGAUCGGCCAAGGCAUGGUGGCACAUGCCUGUAAUCCCACCAGUCUGGGAAGCUAAGGCAGGAAGAUGGCAAGUUGAAGCCCACCUUGGGGCAAUUUAGCAAAUUCUCAAGUCCUUGUCUCAAAAGUUAAAAAUAAAAAGUACUGGGUAUAAAACAGUGCAAAAGCCCUGGGUUCAAUCCCCAGUACCACAUUUUCUUUUUUUAAUUGAGAUAGGAUCUCACUAAAUUCCCCAAGCAAGACUUGAAUUUUUGAUCCUCCUGCCUCAGCCUCCCAGAGAGCUGAGAUUAUAGGUGUGUGCCACUGUACCCAGGGUCAUGCCCACUUUUUGCCAUGCACACUAAGAACCAGAGAGAAUAAACUUUAUGUUUGGUCUUAGCUCUCAACCACUUUCUUUAACCCCAUCCUGAAUCUUUAUUUCACCCAGGUCUAAGGUUAGGGGUGAGACUACAUUUAAGGGAAUAAGAAUCCUGAAAGAAAUAGUAUGAGAACAGGAACAAGCUUUAGGAUUCAGAGGCCAGUACAAGACAUGCUGGAUUCCAUUUCUUUUAGCUGACCCUCUAAUAGCUCUCCGAGGUAGGGCUUUUAUUUGUCUAUUCUCAAAGGCAAGAAUGGGGUCUGGGAUGUAACUCAGAGGCACACUGCUUGCUUAGCAUGCACUAGGCUCUGAGUUCAAUUCCCAGGCCUGCAAAAGAAGGGCGAAAGUAAGAAUUCCAGUAACUAUUAAAGUAAGGGUUCCAGUAGCUAUUACAGAAAGAAUUCAUAUACUCAGGGCUAGGCGUAUAAAUAAGCACGUGGACAGACACCUGGUCUAUGUGAAUAAAAGCAAGGUGGACACUACUGAUUUCAUAUGUGUUUCGCUGAAUCACACAUCAGAUUAAACACCUACGGGGACCUUGGCUUCUCGCUAGAAUCUUUGUAUUCUAACUUGACAUCGUGCCUCUAGUCCUUCCCUAUUUUUUCUUUCUCUCCAUUUUCUUGAACCAUGCAUGACAGCUACACCCUCAGCCCCCUUAUCCAUUUUUCCACACUCUGGGCCCCAACAUGGUUCUACUUCCUAUCCCAUGAAGAAUGUUUUCAUUCAGUUUGCCUCCUAAAUAGGAGCCGGACACGAAUCACAAAACACAUGCUCCAGUACGCACACACAUUCUUCCUUCUUUCCCCUCUGAAUUCCUAGCACCCAGCCCAGGUAAGUAUUUCACUCAUCUUGCACCUAAAUCCUCCCUGAUGAUUUUCCAUUGAUAAAGGAAACUGCUAUUUGUGGGCUAUUGCACUCUUUUCUUUGUCACAGGACCCAGCCAUGGUUACUUUCACAUUCUCCCCAGAGCCCACAUAGCGAGCUUGGCACAUGGCAAGAACCUGAUGGAUAUCUGUGGUUAGUCAACUAUUCAUCUGAUGGAUGACUCUCUGGUUUGGCCUCUCAUUUUCCAGGGAGGGCCUGGCCAUCUCUGAAGAGGCAGUUAACACCUGAAAAAAGAAAAGAAACAAGUAGCUCAUGCUUUCAGAUUUCUGUCAUAUGAGGGUGGAGAGGGCCUGGUUAGAAGAGCUCCUCAGUAGUAACUCCUGGCUGUAGAAUCUAUCCACUGUGAGUCCGAAGCUGAAAGGGGUAGAACUUUAGAAAUCAGAGAAGAAAAUAGGAAAGGGGCUUAACAAGCUCUGUAACUACAGAGUGUUUAUUCAAACAAACCUUCUUUCUUAUCCUAAAGACCAGAAAGGAAGUAACUCCCCUCUCUGGAACUCCAGGGUAGGGAGGAACCCACAGUCUUGGCCCAAACUCAGCAAGGCUUGUGCGUACACUGGGAGGUGCCUGCAAAUGGUGAACGAACUAAUGAAUGAGUGAGAGAGAGACUGGC